UCUUCUAAAACUCUGUCGUGCUCUUCAUCAUUACAUUAAGAAAAAUACAUUUCAAGCCAGCUGUGGCUCUUUGUCAGGUAAAGAAGAGGAGUCUGCACAUGAACUGGAUGUUGCUACAGAUGUAUAGUAACAUAUGGCAAAGUCAUCUGGCUGAGAGGAGGAAGCAAAAAGCCUCUAAAGACUCUUGUUUGGUGUCCUGUUUUCCUGUAGAUACAGAAGUGUGGGCGCUCUGUCCUCUCUGAGCCACAAAAGUGAUGCAAAUGCAAAAUAAGUGCAUCUACUUUAACCAAGAACUUCGACUUUACCUGAGAAUCUCAGCGAGUCGAGGCCAAUCUGAGGACGUCUGCGCUCGGCAGAAAGAGAUGAUGUCAUCCUCUUUCAGCGCCGGCGGGCAGCACUGGUGCUAUCACACAACAGAGACGCUGUGGUUUACACGAUGCUGCCUCUUUUUAAGACAGGCAGAGAGUGCGCCGCCACCUCAGCUGCCUCCUAUUGUUUCAAAAUGGGACUCUAAACUUGGGUCCUUAACAGAUAAACAAAAUGAAAAGCAGCUGAUGAAAAGGUGGGGAGAUGAAAGAUGCGAGUGGAGGACAUGAGAUGCAAAUCUCAAACUUAUUUUUCACAUAACCCUUGUUAUACUUUACUUGCAUGUGUGAAGUGAGGACAUGGUAGCCUUGUUUGAGCGUGCAAGUGUGCCUUUGUAUCUUCACACAAUAUGUCAUAAUGAGGUAUUCUAAGGUAAGCCGUGAUUAUGGCACAAUAAGGAAUCAGAAAAACACUUAGCUUUAAUAAACAAGAAUAAAAACAAAAGCUUCUUUGUUCUGAAACAGCAGCAACAGAAGCACUGAUGAAAGGUUAUCUGAGGAUAAUAUUUCCCACAGUGUGGGACACCAGUGCACUGUGAUCCAUCAUUGGUUAUUAAAUGGAAAGUAUAUUGAGAAAUA
Molecule: long non-coding RNA, 944 nt
Organism: Acanthochromis polyacanthus (spiny chromis)
Lineage: Eukaryota; Metazoa; Chordata; Actinopteri; Pomacentridae
Exons: 2
Source: RefSeq, a predicted model, not a curated record